RNAcentral lists this transfer RNA (71 nucleotides) under Onthophagus clypeatus. Its description in RNAcentral is "tRNA-Trp". The record is from RNAcentral. Lineage: Eukaryota; Metazoa; Arthropoda; Insecta; Coleoptera; Scarabaeidae.
AAGGAUUUAAGUUAUACACAAAACUAGAAACCUUCAAAGUUUCAAAAAAAGAAAGGUCUCUUUAAGCCUUA